AGUCUUGAUAGAGGCGCGGCCAACAUCAGUAGCUCUGCAUGACCGGCAGGAACCGGAGAGCGAAAGGGGCGGCCGCCGAGGGGACACACGGAUUCCUGUGCGUGCGUUCACCGGGCCGGGGGAUAACAUCCGUCGGACUGUCGCCGAAAGGCGGAGAGCUGUCAUGAUC
Molecule: regulatory RNA element, 169 nt
Organism: Firmicutes bacterium CAG:129
Lineage: Bacteria; Bacillati; Bacillota
Rfam family: Lysine riboswitch aptamer
About the family: Riboswitches are metabolite binding domains within certain messenger RNAs that serve as precision sensors for their corresponding targets. Allosteric rearrangement of mRNA structure is mediated by ligand binding, and this results in modulation of gene expression. This family includes riboswitches that sense lysine in a number of genes involved in lysine metabolism, including lysC.
Source: Rfam